Cololabis saira (Pacific saury) is the source of this 153-nucleotide long non-coding RNA. RefSeq lists it as uncharacterized. The transcript is spliced from 3 exons. The record is from RefSeq and is a predicted model, not a curated record. NCBI's taxonomy places the organism in Eukaryota, Metazoa, Chordata, Actinopteri, Beloniformes, Belonidae.
GAGAACCUGGCAGUGAAGGAAGGAAGGGGGCACCAGGAAAGCAAGGAGACAGAGGCCUUGAGGGUAAACGAGGCACUAUUGGGCACAAAGGAAGCACAGGAUCAAAGGGUAAAAGUGGCGAGGAAGGACCAAGGGGAAAACCGGGACCCCCAG